Molecule: long non-coding RNA, 6089 nt
Filed under: Sus scrofa (pig)
Lineage: Eukaryota; Metazoa; Chordata; Mammalia; Artiodactyla; Suidae
Description: lncRNA (ENSSSCG00015002410.1)
Source: RNAcentral
UUUUUGUUUUUUUUUUAGAGAAAACUUCCUUAGAAGUUUGUUGUACCAGUCUCAUGCUCCCAAGAAAAUUUCUCUGGAUGAAAAAUUAAUGCCCUACAGUGCCCAAGCUGCCAGACCAGUGGCACUCAAAGUUGCAACUUACCCUUUGCUGACAUUCAAGAGCUUCAUGCAUGAAUCUAUCCUCAAUGGCACCAAAAUAUCCUUGCUCUGAUCCCCCUCGUUCUAUGAUUUCUCCACAAUGUACAAAAUAAAUAAACUUUAAAAGAUGAAACAAGCAAACCUUUAAAGCUCACUUGACUAAUGGCACAUACCAAAAGUACAAAAUUGACACAAUCAAGUCUUUCUUAGAUUUAAAAAAAAAAAAAAUCCUUUUGUCAGUAUAGUCAUUAUUGCUGGGAGGUCUACUUAUAUCUUUAUUCAAAAAGUAGAUUGGGAUUUGAGGUGUGACUAUAUAGUGCUGAGACUGAAUUUACAUAAAUACAGUGAAUUCCAUAAAUACAUCAAAAAUAAUACAUGCAUGUAAUACACAAGACCUCACACAUCAAAUGAGUGCAGCACGUCAAAGUAUUUUAUUAGACAGGCUAUGUAUUUAUUUCAAGGGCAGUGUCCCUGUCACUUUUAGAACUUCUCUUUGGGAACCGUCACAGAGCCAAUUUACCACCUCCUCUGGGAAAUCAGUCCACUGAAUGUCACAGGACAUUAAAAAGGUUUCUUCUGUUAGCCAGAUACGGAUUUUUGUCCCUUCUUCCAUCCUUACCUCUUUGAUUUGACUCCAUGAAUGAAAUUUAUAAACUAAUCAUUUAGUACAAAAACAAUAACUAACCUUAAGCUACAGAAAAGAGCAGCAACAAAAACCGAGGUUUUGGACUUAAAAAAAAAAAAAAAUGAUCACGUCAGAAACUGCAUAGCAGCCCUGCUAUUUUGCUGCCGCUCUGCUCUCUCGGCUGUCAUUCCUCCAGAGCUGGGUCUAAUCCUAUACAGAGUUCCACGGAGGAGCCCACGGGAACAAGCUGGGGCUGUAGAUGAGGGGGCCUUAUGUGAUUCGCAUCAGGAAUCAGACUAGCUGGGGCGAGUUCAUUUGUGCCCUGCUUGCAUUAAGUGCCAUUACAUAAUAACAUGGGGAAAUCUGGCUGGAAGCCUUUCUGCAUCAUCUAGAAGCACAAUCACUCUAAGCAGAGAACUGCCUAUAUAGCUCUAAACUCGAGCUGGCACAAUUAAAACACGUUGCAGUACCUAGUGUUAAAUCUCCAAAGACAGCUGGAUGACAUUAAAUUUGUUUUCCUAAUGGUACACCAGACUGCUUUAAAACUAUCUCAUGUACUAUCUUAUUCUUAUACAACUGUGAUUUGAAAAAAUCUAUAUACUCCUUCAGAUCUCACGACUUAGUAGUAAAAUCUGGAGGUUUUUCAUGACAUCUAUUUUAGAACACUAGAUCCCGCUUGCUUUAAUAUAAGCCUAUUUCUUCUCUAUUCAUCCUGAGGAAACAAACAAAAACAUGUUUCUUUUAAUAUCCCUUCAUGCAAGUAAGUCCCCCAAAGCUUGCCAGCUCUAAACGACAUAAGCCCAGACUUGCUGGGCAAUUUUCCAGUCUUUUCUGUUGGUUCCCCCAAAUCAGCUUCUCGAAACGCAGUAAAGGUAAGGUAUGUUUAUGUUCUUUCCGGUGUGAGCAACACCAUCAGUGACUCUGAUGUUCAGAUUUUGUAAAGGGAGAGCAGAGCCUUACAAGUGUAUCCUCGUCUCUCAAGCUAGAGAACAAAAAACAAACAAAACAACAAUAACAAAAGAAAAACAGAACAAAACCAAGAAGCAAACAAGAAUCUUUAUCAGGGGAGACAUCUUUCCCGAGGGGUUACUCUUAGGCCCCAGAGGCGCACAGCAAGUAAAUAUUUCAAGCACAUAAAAGAUCAGCAAGUGCCAUUAUUCCUCGAUUGUUUCUGAAUAAAAAUAAUUUCUAUAAAAAUACUUCUAAAAUUGUCAGGAAAAUCUAUUUCCUGAAUUAACCUUGGGGGGCGGGUCCCUCCCUACCACAAAAUACUCAAUGUCAAACUCUCUACGAGUUCCUAUACCUCCAUGUAGUAAUAGCCAUUCAGAACCCAUCAUUCGGAGGAGUAGCACAUGAGGCUCACCUGCUCCCACAAAUUCAUCAAAAAUCCAUCUAUUUGUGGAACUACAUGUCCGGAAAAUUUGCUGAAUGCUGACAAAACAACCCAGGACUCUGAUAGAGAAAGAAAAACUUCGCAAAACUAGGUAGGACAAUUAAAGAAGAUUAAAAAAAAAAGAGAGAGAAAAGGAGAAACAAAGCAGGUCAGGACCAGUGUCCCUGGGAGAGAACUGGAAAAGGAAAAAAAAAAAACAACAACACCUCUGCACCCUAGGGGGUUCCCCCACAUCAGAGUGGGGACCAGCUGAGACAGAGGAAGAACUCCGGAGUCUUGGAGGAGAAUACACAAUUGGUGUAAAGCAGUUAAAAUGGAAACAGUUCUCUGCAAACGGUCAGUGUCACUGCUUUGCACUCCCCAACCCUAAGCUGGGGCAGACAGGGGUCGGGAACUGAAACUCUAGGUUUGGAGAUCAGACUCAGAGAAAAAGCUAGAGCUGGCUAGCUGGGAAAAAACUAGGAGUGGUAGCACAGAGACGGCCUAGAGGGACUGGAGUCUAGAGUCACCACAUUUGAGGCUGAGGGAUCCCAGCUGGGCUUGGAGGUUAAGUGCCAUUGUUAGGGGGUGCUGGCGAGAAGGGGAGGGAUCCACCACUAUAGCCUUACACCCCGUGAGUGCUCUCAGACUGCAAGACCCCAAGGCCCCAGCUCCAGGAUCUACCCUCGAGCAGUAGCUGCUUAGCAGUAGUUGCUGAGUGGCCCACAGCCCUUAAGGCUACAGAAGAAGUGGAGCAAGCAGAGGGAAUCCGACCUUGGAGCAGACCGAGGGAACUAGGGAAUUGCACAGUUCACAGGACUCCAGCCUGCAGUCAGCCAGGCAGGGGGACACUGAAGUGACUGUUGUAACACUGCAGAGGCACAGGGGAUCGAGGACGGCCCGGUGUGCAGGUGGAGAGCCCCGUUUUCCCUAGAGGACAGAAUGUGAUUUUGGAAAGAGUGCAGACAGACAGGAUUCCGAAAGGGGCCCCCUGAGCAGACAGUGAGUUGCAAUUUGCAUAGGGGGGUGGAGAAAGUUCUUUUGGAAACAGCUAGAAAGAUCCAGGGUCUUGGGAGUCUGCAAAGGGCCUUAGGAUGGGUGCAGCCCUGCAAUUUACCUAGGGGGUGGAGAAAGUUAUCUCUGAAGCAGCACAGGGGGAUGGGAUACCACGAGGGGCCUUCUGGGAGGGCACAAAGCCAAGAUCUCCCUACUAGGUGAAGAAUGCUACCUCAGAAACAGGGAAAGAUCCUGGAAAUCUGCAGGGGGACUUUUGGGUGGGCACAGAGCCACAACUUGCCUAGGGGACAGAGGGUGAUUUGUAAAUUAGAGCAGACUGUCUUCGGGAUUCUGCAAGGGGUCUCUUGGGCAGGCCCAGAGCCCUUAUUUCCCCAGAGGGUGGAGAAAGAUAUCUUGGAAGCAGAGCAAAGGAUCCUGGAAAUCCACAAGGAGCCUUCUGGGUGGAUGGAGAGCUGUGAAAAGCCCCCUGAAAUGGUAAAGCUAUUUCAGAAAUAGUGCAAAAGGUCCUGGGAAUCACAUAAGGCCUGGUGGGCCGGUGAAGAGCUGCAACCUGCAUGGGGGGGUAGAGAAAGUGAACCUGGAAACACACAAAGGAUCCGGAGAGUCACAAGAAGCCAGGUGGGCAGGUGGAAAGCUCCAAAAGAUCCGGUGAAGGUGCAAAGUCAACCUGGAAACAACGCACACAGUCUGAGAGAGCUAAACAGCCCGGCAGACUGGUGGAGUGAUCUCAGGAAGAGCACAAGCUCCGUAAUCCCUGCCAACAAUCAAGCAGGGGACAUCAGAAGCAGCGUAUGUUUGCAUGGUUAGCCAGCAGCUGAGGGGGGCCUGCUGUCUCAAGUUUUUAUUUCACAGCAGCUAUAGGGAAUACUCACCAUCCACCCGGUUGGGGGAGGGACCACCAGAAAAGUGCAGGACUUGUAGCUGCAGAGAAAGACAUGGAAACAACCUACAUAUCCAUCAACAGAUAAAUGGAUUAACAAGAUGUGGUACAUAUAUACAAUGGAAUACUACUCGGCCAUGAAAAAAGAUAAGCGAAUGCCAUUUGCAGCAACAUGGACGGAACCAGAGAUUCUCAUACUAAGUGAGGUGAGGCAGAAAGAAAAAGCCAAAUAUCAUAUGAUAGCACUUAUUUGUAGAAUCUCAAAUAUGGCACAGAUGAUCCCAUCUACAAAACAGAAACAGAUCACAGCCAAGGAGAGCAGACUUGUGGUUCCCAGGGGAGAGGGGGGAGGGAGUGGGAUGGAUGGGCAGUUCAGGGCUUUAUAUUUGGAAUGGUUGGGCAAUGGGUCCUGGGUACAGCACAGGGAACUGUGUGUGAUUGGGUCACUUUGCUGUACCACAGAAACUGAGGAAACAUGGUAAAUCAACUCCACUGUAGUAAAAUAAAAAAAUAAAUAAAUAAUAAAAACCAUCAUCAGGAUACAGCCCUGGGCUUAAAUGUACUGAAAGCAUUACCACCAAUAAAAUUUACCUUGGAAGGGACAUACAGUGGUAGCCAAAUCUUUGGGCUUUGGAACUGGGCUGCCCGGGUUAAACACCUCAGCUCAGCCACUAAUAAAGUCAAGUCUGCACCUCAGUUUCUUCAUGGGAGUUUGACCUACUUCACAGGGUUGUAAGAAGAAUUGAGCUGAGAGACUAAAGCACUUACCUGUAACCCCAAGAACUAAGAGCUCAAUUAACGACAGUCAUAUAUAUUGCUGGUAUCACUUAGCUUUGGUUCUGAAGACUCACAGCAAGACAUUCGUUUUUGACCAUAUAUAAUUUGUUGAUAUUUUAACAAUAUUUUCUCAGGUGACUAAUCAUUCAGAAAAAGAAUAAAGAUUUCAUUGACACAGUUUUAUUAUUUUUAAUACACCAAGUAAUGGAAAUGAUGAAAUCAAGAAAGAUUUUGUCCAUAACACAGUCUAUUAUUGAUUAGAAUUCCAAAAUCAAAGCAAAAUCUCAAUUAAUAACCCCUUUUAAGUUACAUUAUUUUGCGGAUGAAUUACCCCACUGAUACUUAUUUAAUUAAGACCUGGCCCCAGAGAACUGACAUUUUUACUGGCAGGUUAUGAAAUGUUUCCUAAAGCUAUGAAGUCUAAUUAUAAAAGCCUUCUUUCAGAGGUUCACAAAAGGUGGAGAAGAGGCAGAAAAUUAUCUCCCUGGUGCCAAAUGGAGAGUUAUAAAACAAACCAAAACAAAUAGAGUGAAAUCAAAUGAAUGAUGCAGAGUGUAGGUGGUUCAGCAUACACACAUUUGAGAGGCUGAACACAGAACACAGAGCAGAAAAUGGAAAGAUUGGUCCGGUGCCAUUCUUUGGGUCUUUGUAGAAAAUGCCAACAUGUUUACUUUUUUUCUUUUUUCUUCAAUGAGGUUGGCCAUAACUGAAGUUUCAUAGCUGCUAACAUGUGAUCAUUACUCAAACAAUUAGAGUUGGGAGCAACAGAUAUUUUUAAUUAGCUAUCUCACAGCAAGGACCAUUAUAAUCACCUAAUUAUCCAUUGUGGCGAUUUAUGCACAAAUGCUCUAAAUAUCCACUAUCUUACUACCACGGGUGUUAGCUCCGUGUUUAUAGUUUAAAACGAAGGCCGUUUCUGAAAAUACAGUGAUGAAAACAUAAAGAACACAAUUUAAUUCUUUCUUGAGAAAUUUAAAGUUGUUUUCAGAAACUAAGCAAUCACUAAUUACAUCUAAACUCAAAAAUUAGUAUGUAGCUUCAGCUAUUAAAAGUGGCAAAACUAAUAUUCAUUUUCAAUUUACUCACAUAACCAAUCAAGCCUAAAGGUAUUUCUUAGCCUAAAUGUCAAAUGUUUAGCUAUAUUAAAUCAACAAGAUUGCUUAGCUAGAUAAAUAAUUGCCAGCUUUAUCAGGAUAAGAUGCCCUCCUUUACUAACACAAAGCAUGGUUCAAUCAGACUUUAAGAGCAAAUGAAAAAAAAAAAAAAAAAAAAAAAAAAAA